Molecule: ribosomal RNA, 804 nt
Filed under: Lindgomyces carolinensis
Lineage: Eukaryota; Fungi; Ascomycota; Dothideomycetes; Pleosporales; Lindgomycetaceae
Description: SSU rRNA
Rfam family: Eukaryotic small subunit ribosomal RNA
Source: RNAcentral
UACCGUGAACUGCGAAUGGCUCAUUAAAUCAGUUAUCGUUUAUUUGAUAGUACCUUACUACUUGGAUAACCGUGGUAAUUCUAGAGCUAAUACAUGCUAAAAACCCCGACUUCGGAAGGGGUGUAUUUAUUAGAUAAAAAACCAAUGCCCUUCGGGGCUCUUUGGUGAUUCAUAAUAACUUAACGGAUCGCAUGGCCUUGCGCCGGCGACGGUUCAUUCAAAUUUCUGCCCUAUCAACUUUCGAUGGUAAGGUAUUGGCUUACCAUGGUUUCAACGGGUAACGGGGAAUUAGGGUUCGAUUCCGGAGAGGGAGCCUGAGAAACGGCUACCACAUCCAAGGAAGGCAGCAGGCGCGCAAAUUACCCAAUCCCGACACGGGGAGGUAGUGACAAUAAAUACUGAUACAGGGCUCUUUUGGGUCUUGUAAUUGGAAUGAGUACAAUUUAAACCCCUUAACGAGGAACAAUUGGAGGGCAAGUCUGGUGCCAGCAGCCGCGGUAAUUCCAGCUCCAAUAGCGUAUAUAAAGUUGUUGCAGUUAAAAAGCUCGUAGUUGAAACUUGGGCCUGGCUGGCUGGUCCGCCUCACCGCGUGUACUGGUUCGGCCGGGCCUUUCCUUCUGGAGAGCCUCAUGCCCUUCACUGGGUGUGUUGGGGAACCAGGACUUUUACUUUGAAAAAAUUAGAGUGUUCAAAGCAGGCCUUUGCUCGAAUACGUUAGCAUGGAAUAAUAGAAUAGGACGUGCGAUCCUAUUUUGUUGGUUUCUAGGACCGCCGUAAUGAUUAAUAGGGAUAGUCGGGGGCAUC